RNAcentral lists this ribosomal RNA (116 nucleotides) under Serratia marcescens. Lineage: Bacteria; Pseudomonadati; Pseudomonadota; Gammaproteobacteria; Enterobacterales; Yersiniaceae. The record is from RNAcentral.
CUUGGCGGUAAUAGCGCGGUGGUCCCACCUGACCCCAUGCCGAACUCAGAAGUGAAACGCCGUAGCGCCGAUGGUAGUGUGGGGUCUCCCCAUGCGAGAGUAGGACACUGCCAAGC